RNAcentral lists this long non-coding RNA (283 nucleotides) under Homo sapiens (human). RNAcentral describes it as "HSALNT0113202". Lineage: Eukaryota; Metazoa; Chordata; Mammalia; Primates; Hominidae. The record is from RNAcentral.
CUCAUUUUCAGUUUAAGUAACUGCUGUUACUUAAGUGAUUGCACUUUUCUCAAAUUGAAGUUUAAUGGAAUAAUAGUUCUCAGGAUAGUAUUUUGUAAAUAAAGAUGGUUUGAAUAUGAAUCUUAUGAGUAAAUCAUUUCCAUUUUAUUAUAUUCUAGAUCAUAUAACUUUUAACUUGGUGAACUAAUCCACUCUUAGAGAAACAAUAGUGGGAGUUUUAUAUAUGUAAUCUUGCAGGUGAGGAGGCUUUAAAUUCUAAAGGUUGUGGUGUCUUCAUGCCAAG